UACUGUCGAACCUAAGAUGGUUCUUCAGGCUUCGAAGUAUUCUCCAAGGUGUUUCCUUGGGGUCCCAAUUUGGGGGACGGGUCUCAUUCUUAGGCUUCUGAGAGGCUCGUAAAAAGGAAUUCCGAGUAAGAUUAGUAUAGGGGGCUCGGGACCCGGAGCAGAAGCCGUCGCCAACGGUUACAACGCCUCGACCGACUUUACUUUGCCUUCGAGUUCUAGAGGUUACUCCUCGAGCUGGUACAGUUGUUCGCUAAACUGUUUCGCGUUCAACAACGGCACCUCCAGCUCUUGGAAUUCCGGUUUGACUUCUUCAGGUUCGUCCUCCGACGGCUUGUCUUCACCGCCGACUAGCUCGCCAGCAGCUCGACAGCUGCCACCAAAACGGGGUAGUCGAGCACCGCGGGCGUGGGUUAGUGGGCGCAGAGCGGGGUGAGGGUGGGGUCGGCGGUUUGCUUGGGAUCGGGCGAAAGAGGGAAGGGAGCUAGGGGUGCUCGGCGGCGUGGGGAGGGAGGGGUUAGAGGUGUCGGCGGCGUGGAGAGGGAGCUAGGGGUGCUAGGAGAGGAGCGGGCGUCGGCGGCCGGAGCAGAGAGGUGAGCGGAUGAGGAGAGGAGAUGGUACAGCAGCAGCUAGGGUGGCGGCCGGAAGAGGUGACGAACGGAGAAGGACAGGCGAAGGUACAGUGGCAGCUAGGUCUAGCCUACACUUCCUCCUCCGGCCGCUCCUUCCGUUCGUUGUCGCCCCUUCCUCGUCCACUCGUUAGGAUCGCGCCCCUUGUAGGCACCCCUGCCGCGGCAGCCGGUCCCCGGUAAGCGGCAGCAGCCGGAGUGAGCGGAGCAGACGAGAGAGAAGUGGUCGGGCUGGUAUCUCCUACCCUACUCUUUCAGACACCGGUCGCUUACCUCGGGGUGGAAACGCAAAGACAGCGGCGGCUCCUUGCAGCGUCGGUGAGCGGGUGUGGUCGGUUUUUCUAAACCCUGAAGUGUUAGACUACGACUCGUUCACCUGUAGGUACAGGGUUUACUCUUCCGACCCAACGAGUAACCCCUCCCUCCACUCUGGUAACUCGAAAAUCUUUGAUUCAGACCCCGACCGUAAGUCCUAUCACGAUACUGAUAUACGUACCUACAGAAAUAGGUAGGGGUUUACUCUUCCGAGCCUACGAGUAACCCCUCCCUCAAUUAGGGCGUAGUAGAGGGGCUUCCACUAGAAAGGUGUCUUUCUUUUUAUGUUGAAUCACCCUUAACCUUAGUUUAUCUCUAACGUUCUUGUUACCAGCACCUUGAGUAAUCAGUCCGGAGAAAGAAACAAUGAAGACUUUGAGUUGUAUACCCCUAAAACUCUCCUAAAAGUACAGACUGGUCCCGAUUUGACUCUUUUAUAACGUUCUCGAGUAGGUACAUGAACGAACUAAUGUGGUUGAACCCUCGUGAUAGUUCUUCGAAUACAUCAAACAGUAACUAAUAACUACAGUAUUGUUCCUAUACGGUAUGUGUGCUUCUAUGAGGAUAAUUGUGCUCACGGUAGUCAUAUCACUGGAACACGUAGUCGUACUUCCCCUCGGAACCGCGUCACCAUUUCGACGACGGAACACUGGUACUCCAGUGCCCAAGUUCAGGACCUUUGUCGGAGAACGUCUUUACAUCCCUUGCCGACGCAUGUUAUCUGGGUUUCACCAGCCUGGGAAGGGGUCUGGGACGCGUUCGCCCUCGAUGUACGUGACCCCGACGGGAAAAAUAAAGUGCACGGAUAAACAUACUCUCUAAACAAUAACUGGAUUCCGGUUCACAUAGUGAUAGAUAAAUAGUAGGAACCACAACCCUAGUUCUGCUACUCAUACUACUACGGUAACUAAGUGUACUACUAGAACCACUACUCAUACUACUACGGUUAGUAUACAACCACACUCCUUUGAACCACUACCAUAACCACUCUCGCAUCUCUUCCUUCACUUCCAAGGGCAACUCUCUUUCUACUUUCUAAUCACCAAGGUAAGUUAAGGUC
RNAcentral lists this ribosomal RNA (2001 nucleotides) under Triticum aestivum (bread wheat). Its description in RNAcentral is "partial small subunit ribosomal RNA". The record is from RNAcentral. Lineage: Eukaryota; Viridiplantae; Streptophyta; Magnoliopsida; Poales; Poaceae.